This 440-nucleotide ribosomal RNA is filed under the name uncultured bacterium. Its description in RNAcentral is "partial 16S ribosomal RNA". It matches the Rfam family "Bacterial small subunit ribosomal RNA", at positions 338 to 795 of the family's 1533-position model. The record is from RNAcentral.
CCUACGGGAGGCAGCAGUGGGGAAUAUUGCACAAUGGGGGAAACCCUGAUGCAGCAACGCCGCGUGAGUGAAGAAGUAUUUCGGUAUGUAAAGCUCUAUCAGCAGGGAAGAAAAUGACAGUACCUGACUAAGAAGCCCCGGCUAACUACGUUCCAGCAGCCGGGGUAAUACGUGGGGGGCAAGCGUUAUCCGGAUUUACUGGGUGUAAAGGGGGCGUAGACGGCUGCGCAAGUCAGAAGUGAAAGCCCGGGGCUCAACCGCGGGAUUGCUUUUAAUACUGUGUAACGAGAGUGCAGACGAGGUAGGCGGAAUAAGUGGAGUAGCGGUGAAAUGCUUAGAUAUAAGGGAGAACCCCGAUAGCGAAGGCAGCUUACUAGACUGUAACUGACGCUGAGGCACGAGAGCGUGGGUAGCAAACAGGAUUAGAUACCCGGGUAGUC